GAUGAACGCUGGCGGCGUGCUUAACACAUGCAAGUCGAACGGAAAGGCUCCUGCUUGCAGGGGUACUCGAGUGGCGAACGGGUGAGUAACACGUGGGUGAUCUGCCCUGCACUUCGGGAUAAGCCUGGGAAACUGGGUCUAAUACCGGAUAGGACCACAUUUUGGAUGGUGUGGUGGAAAGUUUUUCGGUGUGGGAUGAGCUCGCGGCCUAUCAGCUUGUUGGUGGGGUAAUGGCCUACCAAGGCGUCGACGGGUAGCCGGCCUGAGAGGGUGUACGGCCAAAUUGGGGCUGGAAUAGGGCCCAGUCCCCAACGGGGGGGAGCAGGGGGGAAUUUUGCAAAAUGGGCGGGCACCUGAUUGCGGCACGCCGGGGGGGGGGUGCCGGGCUUCGGGUUGUAAACCCCUUUCGGUAGGGGCGGAGCGUUUUUGGAAGGGAACCGGGAAAAGAAGCACGGGCUAACAACUG
This 466-nucleotide ribosomal RNA is filed under the name uncultured bacterium. Its description in RNAcentral is "partial 16S ribosomal RNA". It matches the Rfam family "Bacterial small subunit ribosomal RNA", at positions 28 to 506 of the family's 1533-position model. The record is from RNAcentral.